CCGUUCCCAUGCCGAACACGAAGGUUAAGCUUCAAAGCGCUGAUGGUACUGCAGGGGAGGCCCUGUGGAAGAGUAAGUCGUUGCCAGAU
This 89-nucleotide ribosomal RNA is filed under the name Clostridium sporogenes. The record is from RNAcentral. Lineage: Bacteria; Bacillati; Bacillota; Clostridia; Eubacteriales; Clostridiaceae.